ACUAUACAUAAUCAACACCUCCACGUGGUGUGUAGUGGGCAACGUAUGAAUAAUACGGCUAAGUUGUAU
Molecule: ribozyme, 69 nt
Filed under: unclassified sequences
Description: HDV ribozyme from F. prausnitzii
Rfam family: HDV ribozyme from F. prausnitzii
Source: RNAcentral